Brucella melitensis is the source of this 116-nucleotide small RNA. It matches the Rfam family "Brucella sRNA 121". Lineage: Bacteria; Pseudomonadati; Pseudomonadota; Alphaproteobacteria; Hyphomicrobiales; Brucellaceae. The record is from Rfam.
UGACGUCCUACAUAUUAGGGCAGGCAGAGCCAUAUGAAUGGGCAUCGAGUGAUAGGUUUAUGAGGCGCAUCAAUACAAUCAUGCAGGGCAAGACCAAUGGGGGGAACGGGCCGGAA